GUCGCCGCGCAUCCUCUCCAUCCUCGUCCCUCGACGCCCUCUCUGCCAGACCUCUCUUCCGCGUUGCUGUAAAGGGAAUGGGCGGGUGGCGUACCAGGCCACCAGAGCGAUCUCCAACUUGGUGGAUCCUCUCUUAGCUUCAAGGAACCUGUGAAGAAAUAUUUCCCAAGCAGAUUUUAAAUAGUGGCCCGUCUGAUACCUGAAUGCUAUGGCAAUAUCAGCGAUUCUGUAAUUGUGCUGCAAAUUAGCGGUUCUGUUUUUUAAAUAUUGCAGUAUCAUCGAUUCUGUUGGAUUGUUUCAAGAUUGAUCUUUAGGUAGAGGUUGUUUAAUGACAGUUGCAGCUAUACAGUUUCUAGGGCCUUACUGUCCUGCUUGUUGGAAAUAGCAAAUACAUACCUAGGAGUAGAUUAACGGCAGCACUAAUUGUUCUGUUUGUUGUCCUGCUGUAAUGUAAUGGUAGUCUUGAUUUGGAACUUUGCAGUUGAGGAGUAGCUAGCUUGGGUGCAUUUUUUUCAAACAUGCAUUCUUCAGUACUGCUCCUGGAUCUCUGCUCACUCGAGAUUCAGUACAUCACGCAAAUUUUUUUGUUUUAGUUUUUAUUAUACAAAUAUUGAUGCAACUGCAAAUUCGAGUUAGGUUCAUUUCAAUUGCAAUGAGGUGGACUCAUAGUGAUCCUCACCCAGCCUGUUAGUCUUCGCUGCAUUUUGGUUUAAGCCUGCCCUCAAACCAGGAGUAAUAAUCUUCUAUAGCAUGAAUUUUGAUUGUUUAUUCAGAUGAUUGCUUGUUAGUUUUCUGUAGCGUAAAUGAGAUAAGAAUGUGCUAUUUCGUGAGUACUCAUGUGAUUAUAGCUAGGCAGAGGGGAAUGUCCUACUCAGUAACAUUACUCUCACCCGGAUUUUCGUCUUAGUGCCUGAGUGAGAAUUGACUUUAUGGCAGUCACUUUCUUUUGAAGAAAUAUGGUAUAAAAGAAGAUGCAGACUCUGAAUUUUAUUCAGUACUUAGUUCUGAAAAUAUUUCUUGCUUGUAUCCGACGUUUAUUUUUCAGAAUCCUUGUUUGUGCCUGGCGAGUAAUAAUUUUUCAGGAUUCUCCCAAAAAAAGCAAGGGACUUGGAGACGAAGAGCAAGUAUCUCGAGCCAAUGUUGCAGAGCCAAACAAAUGUCAGCGUUUGUGUUCUUGUUGUAGCUAGCCUGGUGUCGCCCGAGCUGAACCUCCAUGAGCAUGGGUACCCCCAUAAGGCAGACUAUCAUCUUUCAACUGUGCCAUUGAGUGAAGUACUCAUCUUACCUCUGAACUGAUGGAUAUUCUAUACAUAUGGCCUGGCGACAAACCGACGACAACUAUUGUUUUGGCAUGGCACCGAUGGCCGUUUGAGGCAUGAAGCGGUCAGUCCAGAGGACUGCGGCCAAGAUGAUGGCCUUUGUCCCUACGGCGUGAUUAGAAACAAAAGAUUGCUAAUUAGAACGGCAAGCGCCCCCUAGUUUCCAUUGCCAGUGAAAGGAAACACAGAUAUGUACAACAAAGCUGAUCGAAUACUCAAUUCUUUACCUCUGCAUUUGGGGAUUUAAGCUAGCAAAGUUGAGCUAACUAAAAUUUUGGGCUUACAGGCUGACUAGCUUCUAAAUCUUGUUAAAUAUACUGGUGAUGGUGUGACAAUGGACAUCCCCUUUCUCUUCACUGAUUCAAUUUUUGCCAAAGGAAUUCUAUGGUUGCAAAUUAUGUCCAGCUUCUUGAUUGUUAUGGUAUUUCUCUGCCCAUUUUUCAGGACAGACAUUGAUGUUCAAAAGAUUAAGUGGGAUUGGGGGUGUGUUCUGCUCCUGGGUACACAAUGAAAUGUAGAGCUGCACUGCAUGUUGUGGUCUUCAGCGUCGGGCUGCCUAGUACGGUAGAAAUCAAACAUCAAAGGGUCGUCUAGUGGAGCUGAUCAGCUGAUGUAACUAAAUAAUUUACACUGUCUCAUGUAAUUUAUUACAUGUUAACAUAUUAAUUCCUUUAUGUUUGAUAUGCGCGCAUUGCCAUGUGUGCAUGGACACAUUGGAAUUCAUACUCAAGCCGUCCGUGCAAAACUUGCGUUGUGUAA
This is a long non-coding RNA of Lolium rigidum, 2078 nucleotides long. RefSeq lists it as uncharacterized. Lineage: Eukaryota; Viridiplantae; Streptophyta; Magnoliopsida; Poales; Poaceae. The transcript has 6 exons. The record is from RefSeq and is a predicted model, not a curated record.